UACGUAGGGGGCGAGCGUUGUCCGGAGUUACUGGGCGUAAAGGGCAUGCAGGCGGUCGGACGCGUUUCGGGUGACAGCGGGUGGCUUAACUACCCGAGUGGUCGAAAGACGGUUUGACUUGAGGACGCGAGAGGGACACGGAAUUCCGGGUGGAGUGGUGAAAUGCGCAGAUAUCAGGAGGAACACCGGUGGCGAAGGCGGCGCUCUGGGCCGGUACUGACACUGAGGAGCGAAAGCGUGGGGAGCAAACAGG
RNAcentral lists this ribosomal RNA (253 nucleotides) under uncultured bacterium. RNAcentral's name for it is "partial 16S ribosomal RNA". It matches the Rfam family "Bacterial small subunit ribosomal RNA", at positions 524 to 776 of the family's 1533-position model. The record is from RNAcentral.